RNAcentral lists this long non-coding RNA (8150 nucleotides) under Spirodela polyrhiza (greater duckweed). RNAcentral describes it as "long non-coding RNA (SPOL_LNC000514)". Lineage: Eukaryota; Viridiplantae; Streptophyta; Magnoliopsida; Alismatales; Araceae. The record is from RNAcentral.
CAUGGAGGAGAUCUUCAAGGGCACCAAGUCCUUCAAGGAGGAGGUCUUCGGAAAGGUACAAUUAGAGCUCAACCAGUUCGGCCUGCUGAUCUACAACGCCAACGUUAAGCAACUCGUCGACGUGAGGGGACACGAGUACUUCUCCUACCUCGGCCAGAAGACCCAGCAAGAGGCGGCGAACCAGGCGAAGGUGGACGUAGCCGAGGCGAGGAUGAAAGGCGAGAUCGGGUCCAAGAAGCGGGAGGGCCAGACCCUCCAGUACGCCUCCAAGGUCGACGCAGAGACGAAGGUGUACUCGANNNNNNNNNNNNNNNNNNNNAGGAAGUCGCCAGGGUCAACGCUGACGCUGUGAAGGGACUGCAGCCGAAGAUCAGCGUUUGGACGAAUGGCGGGGAGAAGGGGGAGGGAGGCGCGAUGAAGGAGGUGGCCGGGCUGUACAAGAUGCUUCCACCGUUGUUUAAGACCGUGGAAGAACAAGUAGGGAUGCUACCGCCGGCCUGGAUGGGAACGAUGAACUCCAGCUCCUCCGCGCACUGACUGUCGCUUGCUAAUGAAUUUUCAUUCGUAAUAAUGGUCUUCGAAGACAUUAUGGGCUGUGUACUUCAUGUAACGUCUGCUGUUAUGUAAUCUAUUCCCUCAGGUCAAGUUGUAGUAUUUGCACUGGGCAACACUAUUUUAGAGAAAUUGUUAAUCGUGCAAAAUGGAGAGAAUAUGACUGAUUUUCUUAUUUUAUGCAUAGAGAUAAUUGAUAAUAUUUGUUUUAUUAGCUGAAAUCAAUUAAUGUGUAUAUUGAUGCAACCCUAAGUCAUCAUUAGAAUGAUCAAUCAAUUUUAAUAGUUUAUAGAAUUAGAUUCACCAAAAAUAAUUUUAAAUAGAUAUAGUGGUGAGCUAGGUCGUCUCCUCAAGGAAGCCAUUAAAAUACUUUUUAUUUUCUAAUUUAAAAGAUCAUAAAAUUGAUUUGAAGAUUUAGAUUGACAUUUAAGAUAAUAAAGGAAAUCAAAUGGCAAAUAAAUGUAAACACGAAUUUAAAGUAUAAAGGAAUUAUAAAAAGUAAAUAAAAUAUGAUAUAAAUGUUGAAAAUAGUAGAUAAAUAAAUAAAAAUAUGAGUAAAUCUAAGAAAAUAAAUAUAUUUCACAGAUUUAUCAAGAAAAUAGUGAAAACUCUAUUAAAACUCAAACUUACAACCCUUAGAAUGCGUGGCUUGAUGUCGACCUCUAGGUAGCACUUCCAAAUCUUGUCUCUAGUUCAAAAAAAUAGAUUUAAGAUGAAAAACAUAGAUGAGAAUGAUUAAAAUUAAUGAUAUAUUCUUCAAAUUUCUAUUUUCGCACAAAGAAAGAUGAACACCAUUUCUACCAAAAAAUAACCUAAGAAAAACUUGAAAAAAGAUUACUUUCUCUCCCUUCUUCCUCCUUUUUAUUCUCUAAUCCAUGAAUAAUGUUUCUUAUUUUGACUUGCUAUCUUUUGUCAUAUUUUCUAAUUUUUCUUAAUUUUUUGACAUUUUCUCCUCUUCUCGCAUGAAAAUAAUCAAUAUCAUCUAUUUUACCAGAUGAUAAUCAAUAUUUAUAGAUAUAUCCCUCUAUGAACAAGUGAGAAUAAUUGAUAUCUCCACUUUUGUAGGAAUAAUUGAUAUUUACAAGUAUAUCUUCCAACAUGUGGUUCGAUGAAGAUUGUUAGAUCCUUGUGUCAUCAUUUUACUUUGAAAGGGGUGACAUAGAUGAAUAUUUGUCUUUAGAUGCCCAUCAUUACUUAUUAUUGUGCGUGCUUUAGCAAGAUCUAUGUGACCACUAGAACAUGUGGUGGUAGUUGACAAUGUGCCCCUUUUUGGUGCAUUGGAUAUGGUAAGGGUCACCAUUAGAUCUCAUGCUACUUUUUGUACAACAGGAACUACGACGUGGCAUCUUUUGGCUCGUUGGAUGCAGCUAUAGUUGCCGUUGGAUCGGCAACUAUUUUUCAUGCAAUGGUGGAUUACAACAUGGCUUCAUCUAGAACAUCGAAUUUGGCUGUUGCUAUAGAUUCGCUGCUAGAUUUGAAAGAGAAGAGGAAACACUUUUAGUCCCACAUCGGAAAUAUUAAGGGACAAUAUUUCUAUAUAAUAAGAUACAUUCUUGAUAGUCAAAAGGCAUCACCAAAAAACAAUCUCAGUUUUAUUUGAUAUUAAAAAAAUCUUUUCCAAUUUCAUAGAUACAAAAAAUUGUACUUGAUUUCAAUUUAUUUGAUACUAUAGAAAUUUUUUUUCAGUAUAUGCUAUUUGGUUUUGGUUUUGGUUUUAGUCAAAGAUACAACAAAUACUUUUAGUCUCGAUUUUAAUUGCACAAAUAAAGUUUGUCUUUGGUUUUGGGCAUGGAUAUGAGAAAUCUUAUAAAUUUUAGUUUAGCCACAUAUACUGCAAGCUGAGAUUAGAAACCUUCUAACCUACAACCAAGCAAACAUGUCCAUCACAGCUCAAUAAAUAGAUCCAUUAUACCUUAAACUUUGGCUCACUAAUAAGAUCCAUUGCACGUUAAAUUCAUGCCUAGUAAGUCAUCACUCCAAAAUGUCACAACCAAGGAGUGGUCAAAGAUAAAAUUUAUAAUCUUUGAAGAUGUUCCUAAUGAUAUAAGUAUAGUUUAGAGAAUAUUCAAGUUGAACCACAAAGACUAAUAUAAUUAAGUAUGUGAGAAGAUGGAUGAAAUUUACCUAGAAUCACAAGAGAGAAAUAGAUGAAACUUGGGUUAUUGACCUUUCAGUCAAGAAGUCAUGGUGAAUGAGAUUAAGGAAACACACAAAUUCAAUAUAUAGUUAAUGAUUUUUUAAAUUCUAAUGUGUGAAAUCAAAUGCUCUACCUGUCUAGAUCACCUCAUGUUACUUAGGAGAUCAAUAGAGAGAUUUAGGAGAUUUUAAAGUAUCUUUGACUUGCGUUCAAUCUCUCUCUACCUUGAAAAUCAGUUCUACCUUGAGUUAACAAGGGAACAUGAAUUCAAGGGAAGGAUCUUGAAAUGAAUUCCUAAAUUAAUUCAUAAAAUAGUUUCAUUCCAUAUUACGUUGGAUCAAUCUUGAGAAACCAAGAGUUCAGAAAAGUUAAGAGAAUAAUUAAGAGUAAAUGAAUGGAAAAUUGAAAUCAAAGGUUUACUUAGUGUCACAACUAGGAGAACGCUUUUAUCAUGAUCCUAAAUAAGUCUUAUUGAGAUCAACUCUCUCUCACCACGAGGAUCACAGAUAAGACAUAAAAGAGAACAAAAUGACUGAAUCAAAUUCAAAAUGAAAAAUAAAAAUUCAAUUUAUAUAUGCCCUGAGUUAACAAUUGAAGCAUGAAAUGGUAUUCCACCCCAGAAGUUCUUGGACCUGCCACUAGAAGUUGAGUUCUUGGAUCACAUUCUUUCCUCCUAUUGGUCCCUCCUCUCCUAAGUGUGUAAUAUUUCUCUCCUUAGGGGCAUAAUCCCUUUAUACCUCCCUUGGACGUUGGAGUUGAUGUUGGUGCUUAGAUGCUUCCUUAGAUGUGAAGGUUAAUCAGCUUCCUUGGAUUGCACCCACCUUCCUUAAUUAAAAGGAGAUGUGGUGGCACCUCCCUAGGGUUUUAGGUGAGGAUUAAUACUAGCCAUCUAUCUAGAUGGAUGGUUAACAACCUCUACUAAAUCUUAUGAUAGUUAGGAAUUAAUCUUAACCCUCCAUCUCAAUUUAAUCUCAGCUGUUCAUUCUUCAUUAAGUGGCUAUGGGCACUAGGCCCAUGAUCCUCCAUUAAAGCCCACAGCCUCUUUAACUCUUGAAUGGGCUGAAUUAUUUUGCAAAGAAAAAUACCGCUCAUUAUCAUUUAAGCAAAUAAACUUAAAGUCAAGGAUAAUCAAAAGAAAUCAUGGCAUGAUAUUAGUCUUCAUUAAAAAUAUAAAAUGUGAGAAUAAAUCCCAUUACUUAGAAAAAAUGUAUUAAUACAUGUGGAAUUACUUUAUGGUAUUGAUGUGGUCUUAAGUCGUCAUUAAGAUCAUCAAUCAAAUUUUGAAUAUUUAUUGAACUAAGUUCACCUAAAAUAAAAUUAAAAUUAGAAUGUGAUAAAUUAGCUCAUCUCCUCAUGGAAGGAAUCAAAAGGCAUGAUUUAAUUCUCUAUCAAAAAUAAUUUUUACCUUAAUACCUAUAUUAUUGUCAGAAAAUAUUGGUUGUAAUGAUCAUCAAAAUUAAAUAAAAGGAAAGAAAAGUAAAAUAACUUUCAAAUGAAUAAGAUCAAAGAUAAAUAAAUGUUCACAUGAAAUAAAUAAUGUAGUAAAUAAAUAAAUUUCAAAACAAGAUAGAAAUAUUAAGAUUUUGAAAGAAAUAAAUGAAAAUAAAUUGAAAGCAAUAAAAACUUACAAAUUUUAGUAUCUUUGAAUUCUUAUUGACCUCAAGGUAGAUUCCUUAGCUUGCAUUCAUUUCAACAGAAUAAACUUGGGUUGAUUGAUACUAAGGAAAAGAGAGUAAUCCUCUCAUACAUCAAGUUGGUAAAAAUAAAAGAAAAAUGGGAAGAAAAACUCUCUAACCCUAGAACAUGAAAAAGAACUACAAAAAAACCUCCACCCCCUCCCUCUUCCAUCCUUUUUAUUCUCCAGAUCUAUAAAUCAAGCUUUCUAUUUUGACUUGCUAUUUUUUCAGAUUUUUCUUGCCGUCAUGGCGAGAGUAAUGGAUAUUGUCUAAUUUACUAGAUGAUAAUCCAUAUUAGUAAAUAUGUCCAACCACACACAUAUCAUGAUAUAUCUAGCUUAUCAAAUGAUAACUGAUAUUUGUGCAUGUGUCCUCGUCACGUGGCAAGAUGAGAACCGUUUGAUUCACAUGCCAUUGAUCCAUGAUGAUCCAUAGGUAAUGUGGCUGCUUGUACAUCAAUAGAUGAGGCCACCGCAAUGUUUUCGCUUGUGUUUGCUUUAUUGAAGCACAUGAGAUGAUGGCUGGCAACGUAGGUCAUCUUUGAGCAUCAAAUCCACAUGCCACUGAUCCACCGAAAGGAGUGACAUGGCUACAUAGCUGUUGUCAAAUAGCUAUCAUCUUUUCUCUUGCCUUUAUCAAGAUCUGUGCAUCCACCAAUAGGUGCAAUGAGGCAAGUGACAUGUCACUUCUUGGUGCUUUUACAAGCUCGAUAUUCAAGCAACAAUUGGCAUCCAUGGACUUCAUAAUGUGUCACUCUUCUAUUGGUUAGAUCUUUGACACAAGAAUCGACUAUUAGGUGGAUGAGAUCUUGGGCCCACAUAGGCCCACAUAGUUUUAUUAUUCUUAUUUAAUUCAGAAAAUUUUCAGAAAAAUUGGAGAAAGUUUAUUUCAAUAGAAAUAGUUCAUUAAAAAAUAUAAAAAUUGAGCACAAUAUAAUAAAACUUGAAUUGACAUGAAACAAAUAAGAUUUAUGCAUCAACCACAACCACAUUGUUUCAUGAUAAAAUGACUCUCAUUAAGUUUUCUUUUGAAUUAUAAAAUAUUAUAUUUAAUCAAAAUUUAGAUAAAUUCAUUUAAAUGAAAAAUAAACUAUAUUAUUCUGAUAAAUUGUGAAAUAAUGUAAUAGAUUAACAUGUAAUUUUCACAAGUUAUCAAGUACAAUAGAAUAACCAUAAAAAUAUUCUUAUUUCAUGCCUAUUGGAGUUUAAAGUUAACAAAAAUAAUAAAUGUUUAACUUUUGUAAAGUACAAAUGCACUGGUGUUUACUCUUUUGAAGAUCAUAGGCUUUCAUUAAUGAUAGUGCCUAAAACUACUGGUGUUUGAUUUUUGUUAACACUAACUCUAAUAUGGAUUUAAACUUGAAUAACUAGUAUGAAAAAUAUCAGAAAUGAUUUUCAUGGUAUCCCAUUCUAUGUGAUAUGAUGUCUUAAUAAAAAAAGUAUUCUUUCCUAAAUGGUGAUAAAUUUUUACACAAGCAAGAUCACCUAGGUAGAAUUUCAUCUUUAGAUGAUGCAAGUAUAGAAGUUGCUUAGAAGAAAUGUACUCUAUUAUGGUAUAUAGUAGAAACAUCCCAUAUUAAACAACAAAAUUGGGAUGAUUUAUACCAUUGUGUCAUGAACUAAUUGUUGUCAGUUUUGAAGAGGCAGCAAGAGUAAAUGAGAACGGGGGUGGGCUGCAGUAGUUUCAUACGAAUGACUCUUGGAUUUCAAGAUUCCUAGUCACUGGGUUACUCCACUCUUUUAGGAGCCACUCAGGUUCUUCUGAAUUCAAGCGGUGUAAAUGGUAAAAUCCUCUAGUCAAAUCAGAUGGUUGUUCAAAACGAUUUUUCAAGAUUCACUACUUUAAAUGGCCAACUAGAUUUAUGAACUCACUAAUCUCUUCAAAAUUUAUGAGUCUAACUUGAUAUGUAUGCUCCAAGUAUUCAAUUACUAGUGAAGAAUAAGUGAAUGCUCUUAAAAACUCAGUCCAUGGCAUCUAUGGUGUAAUACCAGAUGGAAAUGCACCUGGUGUAGAUAGAGCCUUAAAUGCUUGAAGUGGGAAUAUUAGAAAAUAUUUUCCUACAUGAGACUUUGGAUUGCAUCCCUUACAUAGUGAUCAAUUUUUCUGAUUUAUUCUGAUUUCUAAUGAUAAAACAAGCCUAUAAAUGGUCCAUAAACGACUAGGGUAUGCUCACUUUCACGGUUUUGAGCCUUUUUAUAUUUUCUCUAUUUUAUCCUGUAAUAUUUUGUGUUUUAUCCUCUCUCCUAUAAGUUUACCCUUUCUAUGAAGAUAAUGCAAAUAUUGUCAAAAAUUUUUGUAAAAAAUUCUAUAUUUAGAGAGAGCAUUUCUAGAAUAAAGGAUUAAUUCCAUAAAGUUGAAAGAAGAAUGCUCAUUAAAUGCCUUCUUUCUCCCUCAUUCCGUUCAUCCUUCGUAUAGCAUGAGAGAGUACCCCAAGAGUUCAUUUCAAACAGGUCCUGCAUAUUUCGAACUGGACACAUGCACCAUUUUUUUUUCUUCCUCUUACGCUGAGAAAUGUCCUCAGGCAAAUCAUUCUCCCUCUCCUUACACUAAAAAAUCCAUUUCUCGGCUAAAUCUCUCUUCCCCUAUGCUGGGCCGCACUGGCGAAUGGUGCCGACGUGUGCUCGCGACCGCCAUGUGAGGACCUGCGGUCAGCUGCGCGGGAUGGUGGCGGGAUGCAGAGGCAAAUUAUGUUAUCUUGUCAACACUUGUGCCGUAGUACCUACGGUAGCAGCUGGCGUUUGACCGAGACAGCUUUGACUUUCACAUCUGCAUAUUAAGAGGGGGAGCUUGAGUCGUCUCUGGGAGGUGUUUUAGUUCACUCCAUGUUGAAUUUUUUUACUUGAUUAAGACAGCGUUCACUCCACUUUUAUUUUUUAUUUAUAUUGUAUUAAAAGCUUCAGACCAAUCGUGAAUGGGCUUUGACUUCGAGCCAUAGAGAAAUUCUUCCUCGAUAGAUACCGGGAAAUUUCGCCGAUCUUUCUCGCAUCCGUUUACUUUACAACAAUAAACCUCUCUCUGUAUCUACAAAUGAAGUAUGUCAAAAUGCUUUAAACAGCAUCAGUGUGACAAGGUUGCAACCCACUCUCCGUCCUACCACCCCCCGCUUCUCCCUCCCCGGCUUGCCAGUUCGACCAUCCAGUUGACGGGCAUGGCAUGGUAUCGAGUUGCGAGGGCGUCCGAAUACCUCGCCAUAACUGGAUUCAAGGUUAGUGACAUCAAGCUUGCCAAGAAGGCAUGGAUCUUACCGGGGCAGUCUUGCACAGUGUUCGACAUCUCGCCAGUCAACUACACGUUCGAGGUGCAGGCCAUGAGCGCCGAGAAGCUCCCGUUCCUCCUCCCCGCUGUCUUCACCAUCGGCCCCCGCUCCGAUGACAUGGAGAGCCUGCUCAAGUACGCCAAGCUCAUCUCCCCCCACGACAAGCUCUCCAACCACGUGAAGGAGCUUGUGCAAGGGGUUAUCGAGGGGGAGACCCGCGUGCUCGCCGCCUCCAUGACCAUGGAGGAGAUCUUCAAGGGCACCAAGUCCUUCAAGGAGGAGGUCUUCGGAAAGGUGCAAUUAGAGCUCAACCAGUUCGGCCUGCUGAUCUACAACGCCAACGUUAAGCAACUCGUCGACGUGAGGGGACACGAGUACUUCUCCUACCUCGGCCAGAAGACCCAGCAAGAGGCGGCGAACCAGGCGAAGGUGGACGUAGCCGAGGCGAGGAUGAAAGGCGAGAUCGGGUCCAAGAAGCGGGAGGGCCAGACCCUCCAGUACGCCUCCAAGGUCGACGCAGAGACGAAGG